Molecule: ribosomal RNA, 371 nt
Filed under: Paulsilvella huveorum
Lineage: Eukaryota; Rhodophyta; Florideophyceae; Corallinales; Lithophyllaceae
Description: bacterial LSU rRNA
Rfam family: Bacterial large subunit ribosomal RNA
Source: RNAcentral
GCUUUACUGUAGUUUGGAAUUGACUUCGGAUUUGUUUUGCGCAGCAUAGGUGGGAGGCUAAGAAAGCACGUUUGCGGAUGUGUAGGAGCCACUAGUGAGAUACCACUCUUGACAAAUUAGAACUCUAACUUUGAAUGCCAUAAGCUGGCCAAAGAACAGUUCCAGAUAGGCAGUUUGACUGGGGCGGUCGCCUCCUAAAAAGUAACGGAGGCGCGCAAAGGUUUCCUCAGACUGGUCGGAAAUCAGUCGUAGAGUGUAAAGGCAUAAGGAAGCUUGACUGCAAGACCUACAAGUCGAGCAGAGACGAAAGUCGGCCUUAGUGAUCCGACAGUGCCGAGUGGAAGGGCUGUCGCUCAACGGAUAAAAGUUAC